This 492-nucleotide ribosomal RNA is filed under the name uncultured bacterium. RNAcentral's name for it is "partial 16S ribosomal RNA". It matches the Rfam family "Bacterial small subunit ribosomal RNA", at positions 29 to 507 of the family's 1533-position model. The record is from RNAcentral.
AGUGAACGCUGGCGGUAGGCCUAACACAUGCAAGUCGAACGGCAGCACAGUAAGAGCUUGCUCUUACGGGUGGCGAGUGGCGGACGGGUGAGGAAUACAUCGGAAUCUACUUUUUCGGGGGGGAUAACGUAGGGAAACUUACGCUAAUACCGCAUACGACCUACGGGUGAAAGCAGGGGAUCUUCGGACCUUGCGCGAUUGAAUUAGCCGAUGUCGGAUUAGCUAGUUGGCGGGGUAAAGGCCCACCAAGGCGACGAUCCGUAGCUGGUCUGAGAGGAUGAUCAGCCACACUGGAACUGAGACACGGUCCAGACUCCUACGGGAGGCAGCAGUGGGGAAUAUUGGACAAUGGGCGCAAGCCUGAUCCAGCCAUACCGCGUGAGUGAAGAAGGCCUUCGGGUUGUAAAGCCCUUUUGUUGGGAAAGAAAAGCAGCAGGUUAAUACCCCGAUGUUCUGACGGUACCCAAAGAAUAAGCACCGGCUAACUUCGUG